Molecule: ribosomal RNA, 331 nt
Filed under: uncultured bacterium
Lineage: Bacteria
Description: partial 16S ribosomal RNA
Rfam family: Bacterial small subunit ribosomal RNA
Source: RNAcentral
CCUACGGGCGGCAGCAGUGAGGAAUAUUGGUCAAUGGACGAGAGUCUGAACCAGCCAAGUAGCGUGAAGGAUGACUGCCCUAUGGGUUGUAAACUUCUUUUAUAUGGGAAUAAAAUGUUCGACGUGUGGGAUUUUGUAUGUACCAGAUGAAUAAGGAUCGGCUAACUCCGUGCCAGCAGCCGCGGUAAUACGGAGGAUCCGAGCGUUAUCCGGAUUUAUUGGGUUUAAAGGGAGGGGAGGUGGAGAGUUAAGUCAGUUGUGAAAGUUAGCGGCUCAAACGAAGAAUUGCAGUUGAAACUGGCAGUGUUGAGUACAGGAGAGGUGAGCGGAA